Molecule: unclassified non-coding RNA, 324 nt
Filed under: soil metagenome
Description: partial contains 5.8S ribosomal RNA, internal transcribed spacer 2, and large subunit ribosomal RNA
Rfam family: 5.8S ribosomal RNA (bases 1-120)
Source: RNAcentral
GAUGAAGAACGUAGCGAAAUGCGAUAAGUAGUGCGAAUUGCAGAAUUCAGUGAAUCAUCGAAUCUUUGAACGCACAUUGCGCCCCUUGGUAUUCCAUGGGGCAUGCCUGUUCGAGCGUCAUUUGUACCUUCAAGCUUUGCUUGGUGUUGGGUGUUUGUCCCGAGGGACUCGCCUUAAAGUAAUUGGCAGCCAGUGUUUGGUUUUGAAGCGCAGCACAAGUCGCGAUUCAAGGCUACACGCCCGCUUCCACAAGCCUUUUUUCACUUUUGACCUCGGAUCAGGUAGGGAUACCCGCUGAACUUAAGCAUAUCAAUAAGCGGAGGA